Molecule: small RNA, 623 nt
Filed under: uncultured fungus
Lineage: Eukaryota; Fungi
Description: eukaryotic LSU rRNA
Rfam family: 5.8S ribosomal RNA (bases 255-408)
Source: RNAcentral
GGAAGGAUCAUUAUUGAAUGAACUUGGUGUGGUUGUUGCUGGCCCUCUCGGGGGCAUGUGCACACCCACCAUCCUCAUCUCUCCACCUGUGCACCUCUUGUAGACCUGGAUAGACUUUCUGAGGCAACUCGGUCGGGAAGAUUGCUGUGCUCUGUGAGCCAGCUUUCUUUGCAUGUCCAGGCCUAUGUUUUUCAUAUACCCCUAUAGAAUGUAACAGAAUGUAUCAUUGGGCCUUGUGCCUAUAAACCUUAUACAACUUUCAGCAACGGAUCUCUUGGCUCUCGCAUCGAUGAAGAACGCAGCGAAAUGCGAUAAGUAAUGUGAAUUGCAGAAUUCAGUGAAUCAUCGAAUCUUUGAACGCACCUUGCGCUCCUUGGUAUUCCGAGGAGCAUGCCUGUUUGAGUGUCAUUAAAUUCUCAACCUUAUUAACUUUUGUUGAUAAUGGAUUGGAUGUGGGGGUUUCUUUUGCUGGCUUCUUCACAGAUAUCAGCUCCCCUUAAAUGCAUUAGCUGGUGCCCCGCGUGGACCAUCUAUUGGUGUGAUAAUUAUCUACGCCGUGGAUGUCUGCAAUCAUAUGGGUUUUGCACUGCUUCUAACCGUCUGUUCAUUCGGACAAUACAUGA